CCCUCGCGGCGUCGCGGCCGGCCACUCCUUUCGUCACGAGCUCGCUCGUGGCGCGGGGCUUCCACCAUCGAACACGUUGAACGAAUGACUGAGUCCCUUGAUUGACCCUGCGAGUGAGAAGUGCGAGUGCCGUCCCCCCCUUGGGGGGUUCGGCGCUGGUUACCUUGCGAGUUGUGGACAACGUGAGUAAACUGAAACAACUCUCAGCAACGGAUAUCUUGGCUCUUGCAACGAUGAAGAACGCAGCGAAAUGCGAUACGUAGUGUGAAUUGCAGAAUUCCGCGAAUCAUCGAGUCUUUGAACGCAAGUUGCGCCCGAGGCUUGUCCAAGGGCAUUUCCGCUAGAGCGUCACCGCGCACCCCCACCGACCCACUCCCGUUCGCGGCGAGUCGGGUCGAGUGAAAGUGGCCGUCCCGAGCGGUGGGGGCCCGUCGGGCCUUCACUUGGAAGGGUGGGCUGAAAUGGAUGGAAUUGGGCCGCCGUGGUGUGAUGCAGUCCGCGAUCGGGUGAUCCGAGCUCCUCCGGGAGUCCGGACUUUUUCUAAGUGCGUGGCUGCGUCCCCCCAGUCGGUCCGUGGUUACCCCAGGUCGAUGCGCGCCCGCGAGGCGCGCGUCACGCAUCGGACCUCUAAUCGGAAAAGACUACCCGCUGAG
This 653-nucleotide ribosomal RNA is filed under the name embryophyte environmental sample. Its description in RNAcentral is "eukaryotic LSU rRNA". The stretch from base 199 to 351 matches the Rfam family "5.8S ribosomal RNA". The record is from RNAcentral. Lineage: Eukaryota; Viridiplantae; Streptophyta.